Molecule: ribosomal RNA, 253 nt
Filed under: uncultured bacterium
Lineage: Bacteria
Description: partial 16S ribosomal RNA
Rfam family: Bacterial small subunit ribosomal RNA
Source: RNAcentral
UACGAAGGUCCCGAGCGUUAUCCGGAUUCAUUGGGCGUAAAGGGUGCGUAGGCGGCGGGGCAAGUCUGAUGUGAAAUCCCGGGGCUCAACCCCGGAACUGCAUUGGAUACUGCUCUGCUUGAGCACUGGAGAGGAGACUGGAAUUUACGGUGUAGCAGUGAAAUGCGUAGAUAUCGUAAGGAAGACCAGUGGCGAAGGCGAGUCUCUGGACAGUUGCUGACGCUGAGGCACGAAGGCCAGGGGAGCAAACGGG